This 507-nucleotide ribosomal RNA is filed under the name uncultured bacterium. RNAcentral's name for it is "bacterial SSU rRNA". It matches the Rfam family "Bacterial small subunit ribosomal RNA", at positions 29 to 508 of the family's 1533-position model. The record is from RNAcentral.
AACGAACGCUGGCGGCGUGGAUAAGACAUGCAAGUCGAGCGCUAAUUUCAGGGUAGCAAUAUUCUGGAGUUGGAGCGGCGCAAGGGUGCGUAACACGUGGGCAAUUUACCGUGAAGCCUGGAAUAACUCGCUGAAAGGCGAGCUAAUACCGGAUGUGAUUGUUGGAGGGCAUCCUCUGAUAAUUAAAGUUGGGGAUCGUAAGACCUGACACUUUUCGAUAAGCCCGCGGCCUAUCAGCUAGUUGGUGAGGUAACGGCUCACCAAGGCUAAGACGGGUAGCUGGUCUGAGAGGACGACCAGCCACACUGGAACUGAGACACGGUCCAGACACCUACGGGUGGCAGCAGUCGAGAAUUUUUCACAAUGGGCGAAAGCCUGAUGGAGCGACGCCGCGUGGGGGAUGAAUGGCUUCGGCCCGUAAACCCCUGUCAUCUGGGAACAAUGCUUCCGACCCAACACGUCGGAAGUUGAUAGUACCGGAAGAGGAAGGGACGGCUAACUCUGUGC